GGGAAUAUAGUUUAAUUUGGAAAAACAUAUGAUUUGCAGUUAUACCUUAUUGGUUCGAGUCCAAUUAUUUCCA
RNAcentral lists this transfer RNA (73 nucleotides) under Melanothamnus gigas. Its description in RNAcentral is "tRNA-Ala". It matches the Rfam family "tRNA". From Rfam's summary of the family: Transfer RNA (tRNA) molecules are approximately 80 nucleotides in length. Their secondary structure includes four short double-helical elements and three loops (D, anti-codon, and T loops). Further hydrogen bonds mediate the characteristic L-shaped molecular structure. tRNAs have two regions of fundamental functional importance: the anti-codon, which is responsible for specific mRNA codon recognition, and the 3' end, to which the tRNAs corresponding amino acid is attached (by aminoacyl-tRNA synthetases). tRNAs cope with the degeneracy of the genetic code in two manners: having more than one tRNA (with a specific anti-codon) for a particular amino acid; and 'wobble' base-pairing, i.e. permitting non-standard base-pairing at the 3rd anti-codon position. Lineage: Eukaryota; Rhodophyta; Florideophyceae; Ceramiales; Rhodomelaceae. The record is from RNAcentral.